GAUGAACGCUGGCGGCGUGCCUAACACAUGCAAGUCGAACGAAGCACUUUGAUUGAUUCUUCGGAUGAAUGAUGAGUGACUGAGUGGCGGACGGGUGAGUAACGCGUGGGUAACCUGCCUCAUACAGGGGGAUAACAGUUAGAAAUGACUGCUAAUACCGCAUAAGCGCACGGAGCUGCAUGGCUCAGUGUGAAAAACUCCGGUGGUAUGAGAUGGACCCGCGUCUGAUUAGCUAGUUGGUAAGGUAACGGCUUACCAAGGCGACGAUCAGUAGCCGACCUGAGAGGGUGACCGGCCACAUUGGGACUGAGACACGGCCCAAACUCCUACGGGAGGCAGCAGUGGGAAUAUUGCACAAUGGGGGAAACCCUGAUGCAGCAAACGCCGCGUGAUUGAAGAAGUAUUUCGGUAUGUAAAGAUCUAUCAGCAAGGAGAAAAUGACGGUACUUGACUAAGAA
RNAcentral lists this ribosomal RNA (458 nucleotides) under uncultured bacterium. RNAcentral describes it as "bacterial SSU rRNA". It matches the Rfam family "Bacterial small subunit ribosomal RNA", at positions 28 to 489 of the family's 1533-position model. The record is from RNAcentral.